This 604-nucleotide ribosomal RNA is filed under the name uncultured bacterium. RNAcentral describes it as "bacterial SSU rRNA". It matches the Rfam family "Bacterial small subunit ribosomal RNA", at positions 338 to 947 of the family's 1533-position model. The record is from RNAcentral.
CCUACGGGAGGCAGCAGUAGGGAAUAUUGGGCAAUGGAGGCAACUCUGACCCAGCCAUGCCGCGUGCAGGAAGAAGGCGUUAUGCGUUGUAAACUGCUUUUAUAUAGGAAGAAAUAGACCUUGCGAGGUAAGUUGACGGUACUAUAUGAAUAAGCACCGGCUAACUCCGUGCCAGCAGCCGCGGUAAUACGGAGGGUGCAAGCGUUGUCCGGAUUUAUUGGGUUUAAAGGGUGCGUAGGCGGUUUAUUAAGUCAGUGGUGAAAGACGGUCGCUCAACGAUUGCAGUGCCAUUGAUACUGGUAGACUUGAGUGGGAUUGAGGUAGCUGGAAUGGAUAGUGUAGCGGUGAAAUGCAUAGAUAUUAUCCAGAACACCAAUUGCGUAGGCAAGUUACUAAGUCUCAACUGACGCUGAGGCACGAAAGUGUGGGUAUCAAACAGGAUUAGAUACCCUGGUAGUCCACACUGUAAACGAUGAUAACUAACUGUUGGCUUUCGGGUCAGUGGUACNGAGAAAUCGUUAAGUUAUCCACCUGGGGAGUACGCCGGCAACGGUGAACUUAAAUGAAUUGAGCGNGAGAGNGCGAGCGACGACGAGGGAGGAGG